This 3293-nucleotide unclassified non-coding RNA is filed under the name Neodiprion lecontei (redheaded pine sawfly). Its description in RNAcentral is "uncharacterized LOC107216612, transcript variant X2". The record is from RNAcentral. Lineage: Eukaryota; Metazoa; Arthropoda; Insecta; Hymenoptera; Diprionidae.
ACUUCAUUGACAAGGACCAGUAAUUGAAAGCAGCAAAUUGGUAUUGUUUUACAAUUGCGUUGGGGCUAGUAGGUUUAGUCAUUGAUCAAUGAGUCAUUUGACAUUGCAUAACAGACAUCCUGACGUAUUGCUAUGACUAAUAUGGAAUACGAAGGAAAACUGUUCGAAGUAUCGGAGAAACUGUCAACCCAUGGCUCCAAAUACAAUUACAGUCCUGUUUCUAGUGAUUGUAUGGCAUGCGCCGUACGUGUGACAAGUCGAAGACAUAAAGAAUUAGAAGAACAGGUGACAGAGUUAUUUACACCCUGCGAAAAGUAUGAUCAUAGGUGAAUUAUCUUGCUUGAUUUUUAGCAGAGCGUUGUUGUUUGUGGACCUUUUCCAAGCAACGAAGAUGUAUGUUACUUGCCUGAGACUCUUGCCAAAGAAAAAUACCGAAGAGCUCAAUUGCAUGUAGUAACCACUAAUCAAAGGGUCAAGGUUUUCGGCAAGUGGACCGAGGAAAAAUUAUUGGCAGCAUUGACAGACCGAUUACUGCAAAGAGCUACCAGUCAACCCCCCAAACCUUAUGAGAAAAUUCCCCCACUAAAAAUUAAACAAUUUUCUGCUGAUAUACCUUACUGUCCGAUUGUUCAUAGGGGUAUAUACAGCAAGGAUAUUUUGGGACGAUUGUACGGCAGUGGUAUGGCGUAAACAUUGAUUAGGAAACAUAAUAUAAUACAAUAUAUAUUCCAUCUUGUAAUAGAAAGUAUUAUUGGUCAUAUUUUAAGGUGUGUCAGAAUCGCUUGUUAUAAGAGCAAUGAAAUUUGGUUUAAAACAUCUUAAACCGGAGGAUCUGAAUUACUUUAUCCAGUUUGGAGUGUCCAUUCAAACUUUACGAUCGCAUAAACUCUGGAAUGAGUUGACUGACGAAUCUUUAGCUACGUCUCUGAGAACUAUGGGCUUUGAUGAUAAUGCUAGCAGGAAAAUAAUAUUGAACGGCAUGCUGGUACAAAGCGAAAUUUGUUUAAUGCAAUUAAUGCUCGCGGGCGUUGAUGUUCCUGGAAUUCUUAAUUGGCAAGGGGAAAAGAUCGAUGUAGGAGCUCGAAUGAUAAAAUUUUUAAGAAAUUUAGGAAUUCCAGAAGAUGUACUGCAACUAAUUGUUCAGAAAGGUAUCGAUGAAGAGACUAUGGAGAUGCUUAAGGAUUUGGGGUACACGGAAACAGAAGAAGAAGAACAUGUGGGAAUGCAUGAGGUACUCAUUUGCGAAUGCGAUUUGACUGUCCUUGAGUCAGAAAUUUGUUCAGUAAAUUCGCCACCCUCUAAUACUAACAGCUUGAAGAGUUUAAUUCCAAAGCCUGAUAAUAGCGAAGCCGAUUUUGAAGCCGAAGAUACUCGCGUAUGUUUUUCUGAUAUAAGUAGUUCAACUGUGUCAAAUUCAACGUCGAGUCAACAGACUCUAGUAGAUUGCAAAAAUGUGCACGUAAAACCAAAAGCGCUAACAAGCUCAGAACUUCUCACCGAACGAAAUGAGUACUUAAGGCGAACAGUAAUGGCACCAUUAGCUUGGGCCAUGAGCAGAGCGUUACAGUACAGACCAUCUGAUCCAAAUCAUUACAUAGCAUGUCAACUGCUGCGUUGGAGAUAUGGGAACGUUUCCAAACUGGAAAUGAAGGCUGUAGAGGACUUUGUAAUUGCUAGAACAAUCGAAAUGGACAAAAAAUUAAUGGAACAAAAACGGAAAGAAGAAGAAGAGUUGAUGGCCAAACAUAAUUUUGAAGCUUUACAAAAUAUUCCUUGCCAUCCGUGCUGGCAAAAUCAACAAAUUUAUCGUGUUAAAGAGCGGUGUUGGAAAUGCAUUAAAAAAUGGGUACCUAACUACGAGCGAUGCGAGUUGCCUGAGAUUUGUAGUUCGUGUGAGGUCGACUUAUCUGAGAUUUUGAACUCUGACACGGCAACAAGUAGUACUGGAGAUAAUCCAGAAACAGAAAGUGCUGUACAGACUCAGAAAGUAGCCAUUCUAGAUAAUAGAAAUAUCUCAUCAGACGGUCAGUACCGUUAUACGGAAAACUUGGACUUGUCAAGUUAUAACAGAGUUGACGAAUUGUACGGAGAAUAUUUCAAAUCGGAUUCUUACGAGGAAAAUAUGCAUAUAAUUUCAACCAAGUCUGAAGCAUAGAUGUUGAUACAGCAUGAGAACUCUAUUUUAAAAUAUACUACUACUACGAUCAGAUAUAUGAAGCGACGACUUCUCUCGGCGCUCAUGUUUAUGAAAGGGACGCACUUGGGACGAGCAUCUCUGGUUUUUUUAACUUCGCGCCAGCUGCCCGGACUGUUUAUGCAAGGCGAUAAGUACCUAGGACAAGUGGGCCCCACGGUUUGCGAAGCAACGUUUCGACCGGCGAGGAGACGAUCACUUCUCGAUAGAGUUCCAAGCAAGCAACGUCGUCCUUUGAGUUACUUAAGAUUAUACGCGACGCUGUACGUUUGUGCAAUUAUAUAAAUAUAGACUCAUUCCGCUAUUCGUUAUUCGCCAUUUCUUACAUUUGGAAAAUAUUAUAACCGAAUUAGAUUAGAAAUAUAUUGAAUCGAUGAGAAAAUUCAAUUGUGGACAGAGCAAUCAUAGAAAAUUCGUUUAUUUGCUAAUCAGAAUCGUACAAUUGUUAUACAACACUUGAUCAUAAUAUUUGAGUACUAAGAUUCCAUCACACAUACAAAAUCAGAUGAGAUGAAAAAAUUUAAAACAUUGCGAAUAGAAAAAUAUAAUAACACACUGGCGGUGUUUGAAUUGUACAAUGAUAACUUUUCUAUGAUAAUAUGUAGAAAUAUAAUAAAUUUCGGUUAAUAAACAAAUACGGAUAAGUAAUCUUCAAACUAUUGGAUGAAGUUAAAAGUGAAGUACUGGUGUAUUUAUGAAUAAACCAAAUGCAGUACUUCCGUAUAAAAUUCGAGGUUUUAUUGAAAAUGUAGAAUAAUAAAUACUGUACGUAUCGGUUGGGUAUAAUAGUAUAAUAAUGUAAUAGGCAACAAUAUGCAUCGUUCGCUAAAACUUUUUUUUUUUGGACGCACUGAUAACUUUUAGUUAAUCAUAGAUUGUGCUUUAACAGGAAGAACACAACGACCCGCGUACGAAAAUAGGAAAUUCACAAGUUGUCAUGACAGACUUGACGUAAGAAUGCAGGGGAGCUAUCUCUUUAGUGAAUCAUGGUAUUCCAUCAUUACCUAUUUUAGAUGAUUCCCGGGGUUCACAAUGAGUACGUUUUUUCGGUUUACAUUGAAAGUCUUGGUACAAGUUAGAGCGAACGUCAAUAAAAUAG